Molecule: transfer RNA, 72 nt
Filed under: Rhodotorula toruloides
Lineage: Eukaryota; Fungi; Basidiomycota; Microbotryomycetes; Sporidiobolales; Sporidiobolaceae
Also listed under: 1 other name
Description: tRNA-Arg
Rfam family: tRNA
About the family: Transfer RNA (tRNA) molecules are approximately 80 nucleotides in length. Their secondary structure includes four short double-helical elements and three loops (D, anti-codon, and T loops).
Source: RNAcentral
GGCCGCGUGGCCCAAUGGCAAGGCGUCUGACUACGAAUCAGGAGAUCGUGGGUUCGAGCCCCAUCGUGGUCA